GAAAACAAGACUUCCAAGAUGGUGAUGUGGGGGUGUAUGAUUUAGCUCUAGUGAAGAGUCUGAUAGAUUAUCAAAGGAAAAAGAGCAUAUUGUUGUUGAGUAAUUAAAAAGGAUUGUUAAAAAAUUGAUAGCAUUGAAUUAGAAUGCUUUUUUUAAAAAAAAAUGAGAAAAGGUUGUUUCGAACAAAAAAUGCAAAAUAUUUCAA
This 205-nucleotide long non-coding RNA is filed under the name Elaeis guineensis (African oil palm). RNAcentral's name for it is "long non-coding RNA (EGUI_LNC039291)". Lineage: Eukaryota; Viridiplantae; Streptophyta; Magnoliopsida; Arecales; Arecaceae. The record is from RNAcentral.